Trichophyton rubrum CBS 118892 is the source of this 85-nucleotide transfer RNA. It matches the Rfam family "tRNA". From Rfam's summary of the family: Transfer RNA (tRNA) molecules are approximately 80 nucleotides in length. Their secondary structure includes four short double-helical elements and three loops (D, anti-codon, and T loops). Lineage: Eukaryota; Fungi; Ascomycota; Eurotiomycetes; Onygenales; Arthrodermataceae. The record is from Rfam.
GGUGUCGUAGUCUAAUGGUCAUGAUAACUCGUUGUGGAACACAAGCAAAGCCGAGUUUGUCCCGGUUCGAUUCCGGGCGAUGCCA